AAAAUAUACAAUAAGUGUAUACUUUGUCAUACAUGGUAGUUGUACUUUUUUCACUUUUUGUGUUUGUGUAUAUGAAUGUGUUAAAAGUGUUAAUUUCAUAUACAGUAUAUAUAGUUAUGAUGUGGUGAGCUGUGUAUGUGCAUGUGUGUGAAAGUGAGAAAGAGAAAAAAAGUGGUGUUCACGUGAGUAAGACUAAUUCAUUCUGUUCCUCAUCACAAUUCUCUCCACACUUUUCACAUACACAUAUCAAUAAUAAUAAUUAAAAAAAACACAGCUGACAAUAUAUUUUUCAGAUGAUGACGAUGAUGAUGAUUAUCAUAAAGGAUCCAUUUGUUCACUGUGUGCCCAUUGUGAGCAUUGCGACAGCUGUGAUAAAUGCCCAUGCAAAAAAGGAGACGACUCUGAACACUGCGACUUCUGUGAUGACUGUGGAAAGUGCUACAUGUGUCCUGUUUGUGAGACCGUCUGCAAGCCAGGUGGCUUUGUUGACUCUGUUUCUGGAUCCAUCUAUAAUACUGUCGCAGACGUCUUUAAUGACGACGACGAUGACGACGACAACUAAACCCAUUCGUCACCAGCAUGUGGCCAAAAGAGGAACGUGCAAUUGGGCGUUACGUUUCACAGAUUUCAGGAUUUACAUUGUAGCAUUAUGUUCAUUGUCGUUAAGUUAUUUUUCUCUUUUUAAUGUUACCACAUCACAUGCUACAGUCUGGUCAAUACAUUUACGUGGAACUUAAAUAAUUUCAUUUGGCUACCUUAAAUUAAAUGUAUUUAACUGAACAACAUUUCCCUUUUAAACAGUAUUGUUAUUAACAUAAGUUAUGAUAUGAAAUGUAAUUGCAAACCUACACUCUAAAAAAUGCUGGGUUAAAUAUAACCCAGCCCUGGGUUAAAAAAGGACAAACCCAGCUAUUGGGUUGUUUUGACCCAGCAGUUGGGAUGUUUUGAACCGAACCGCUGGGUCAAAACAACCCAAUAGCUGGGUUUGUCCCUUUUUAAUCCUGCGCUGGGUUGUAUUUAACCCAGCAUUUUUUAGAGUGUAACCGUGUUGUUUUGAGACUACUUAUGGAAUAAAAUGAGGGAAUGUUUUAUUUAUGUAAGUAAUAAUACUUUCAAAAUACUUUGAAAAACAUACAUUAUAUCAGUGUAGGCAGAGUAUAAUUGUCUGUGAGGGAUGUCCUUACUGUCUCUGUUGAAUAGGUUGUAAUGUUUUUCAUUUUGCUGUUAAUUUUUCCGCUGACGAAACAUGAUUUCCAAACAUGAUUUGUGAUAUGAAAUAUGGCCUUAAAGGGAUGUUCAUCCAAAAAACUAAACUGUGUCAUCA
Molecule: long non-coding RNA, 1324 nt
Filed under: Sinocyclocheilus grahami
Lineage: Eukaryota; Metazoa; Chordata; Actinopteri; Cypriniformes; Cyprinidae
Description: lncRNA (ENSSGRG00000054934.1)
Source: RNAcentral